Molecule: ribosomal RNA, 460 nt
Filed under: uncultured bacterium
Lineage: Bacteria
Description: partial 16S ribosomal RNA
Rfam family: Bacterial small subunit ribosomal RNA
Source: RNAcentral
CCUACGGGAGGCAGCAGUGAGGAAUAUUGGUCAAUGGACGAGAGUCUGAACCAGCCAAGUAGCGUGAAGGAUGACUGCCCUAUGGGUUGUAAACUUCUUUUAUAUGGGAAUAAAACGUUCCACGUGUGGGAUUUUGUAUGUACCAUAUGAAUAAGGAUCGGCUAACUCCGUGCCAGCAGCCGCGGUAAUACGGAGGAUCCGAGCGUUAUCCGGGUUUAUUGGGUUUAAAGGGAGCGUAAGUGGAUUGUUAAGUCAGUUGUGAAAGUUUGCGGCUCAACCGUAAAAUUGCAGUUGAAACUGGCAGUCUUGAGUACAGUAGAGGUAGGCGGAAUGCGUGGUGUAGCGGUGAAAUGCUUAGAUAUCACGAAGAACUCCGAUUGCGAAGGCAGUUCACUGGACUGCAACUGACACUGAGGCUCGAAAGUGUGGGUAUCAAACAGGAUUAGAUACCCCUGUAGUC